GAUGAACGCUGGCGGCGUGCCUAAUACAUGCAAGUCGAGCGAACAGAUAAGGAGCUUGCCCCUUUGACGUUAGCGGCGGACGGGUGAGUAACACGUGGAUAACCUACCUAUAAGACUGGGAUAACUUCGGGAAACCGGAGCUAAUACCGGAUAACAUAUUGAACCGCAUGGUUCAAUAGUGAAAGGCGGCUUUGCUGUCACUUAUAGAUGGAUCCGCGCCGUAUUAGCUAGUUGGUAAGGUAACGGCUUACCAAGGCAACGAUACGUAGCCGACCUGAGAGGGUGAUCGGCCACACUGGAACUGAGACACGGUCCAGACUCCUACGGGAGGCAGCAGUAGGGAAUCUUCCGCAAUGGGCGAAGGCCUGACGGAGCAACGCCGCGUGAGUGAUGAAGGUCUUCGGAUCGUAAAACUCUGUUAUCAGGGAAGAACAAAUGUGUAAGUAACUGUGCACAUCUUGACGGUACCUGAUCAGAAAGCCACGGCUAACUACGUG
This 497-nucleotide ribosomal RNA is filed under the name uncultured bacterium. RNAcentral's name for it is "partial 16S ribosomal RNA". It matches the Rfam family "Bacterial small subunit ribosomal RNA", at positions 28 to 507 of the family's 1533-position model. The record is from RNAcentral.